This is a small nuclear RNA of Nycticebus coucang (slow loris), 107 nucleotides long. The record is from RefSeq and is a predicted model, not a curated record. Lineage: Eukaryota; Metazoa; Chordata; Mammalia; Primates; Lorisidae.
AACAAAGUCUCUGGGUGGUUCUUAAAUGCCAUAAAAAUUAAACACACAGAUUAGCGUGGCCCCUGAGCAAGGAUGACAUGCAAAUUCGUGAAGCAUUCCAUAUUUUU